Molecule: ribosomal RNA, 442 nt
Filed under: uncultured Pseudomonadota bacterium
Lineage: Bacteria; Pseudomonadati; Pseudomonadota
Description: uncultured proteobacterium partial 16S ribosomal RNA
Source: RNAcentral
GACUACCGGGGUAUCUAAUCCUGUUUGCUACCCACGCUUUCGAACAUGAGCGUCAGUACCGGACCAGGUGGCCGCCUUCGCCGCCGGUGUUCCUCCUGAUAUCAACGAAUUUCACCUCUACACCAGGAAUUCCACCACCCUCUUCCGGACUCAAGCCAAGCAGUUUCGAAUGCAGUUCCCGAGUUGAGCCCGGGGCUUUCACAUCCGACACACUUGGCCGCCUGCGUUCGCUUUACGCCCAGUGAUUCCGAGCAACGCUUGCGCCCUCCGUAUUACCGCGGCUGCUGGCACGGAGUUAGCCGGCGCUUUCUUGGGAGGUACCGUCAGUACUUCGUCCCUCCCGACAGAGCUUUACAACCCGAAGGCCUUCAUCACUCACGCGGCGUGGCUGGAUCAGGCUUUCGCCCAUUGUCCAAUAUUCCCCACUGCUGCCCCCCGUAGG